UGGUAGAUACUUAAUUAUCACUUUUAAAGCAUACCAAAAACAAAAUAAAAAAGCCUUUUCUAAUGUAUUUAAACCUACGGAAUGUAGUUGGGUAUUUCUGCGUAUGUGUAGGUAUACCUACCUUGAAAACGUGGCUUGAAAAAUCUACUGAGCGCUUUCCUAUUAAUUUAUCAAAAUGUUUUGCGCGAAACUGAGUAUUAUUGCAUAUAUUUUGAUUGUGUCUUUUAUUUACUAUGAUACUGAAGCAACUUGCCUCAAUCCAUUCUUCAACAAACACGCAUUGUCUCCAAUAAAUAUCGACAGUUCUAAAGUCAUACAAUCUAAUCUUACAACACCAUUAAUUUUAUUCAAUGCCCUAUUUGAUAUUGUGAAUUUCACUAAUACUGGAAAGACACUCGAUGCAUACAGCGAUCAACUCUUGGACCCAUCGUUCAUCACUGGAGGAAUUUUAUGUGAUAAAAAAUACAAAAUUCACACCAUACGUUUCUAUAUCAAUCCACGUGGGAAAGGUCGUAGUGGAAACACAGUCGAUGGUCAGGGUGCUCCUUUGGAAAUGACAGUUAUAUAUUACAAUAUAUUGUAUGGAUCAAUGGAAAACGCUCUAAGAUUCCCAGAUGGCAUAACUGUGCUUGGUUUUCCAGUUAAAGUGAAUCUAGUACCAAAUUUAGGUUUUCUGCCACUUCAAUUCAUUCUUUCAACCGGAGUAAUGAAGAAACCCGGUUCGUCAAUCCCAAUACCGGGCUUAUUCACAUAUGUUUGGUUCGACAAUCUUCUAAUCAGUCCUGUGUAUAAAUAUUAUGCCUACACUGGAACUUAUUACGAUCCUGAAACGGGAAAACAAACACCAUCAGCUAAUUACCUGUUUAUCAGUCCAGAUCAGGCUUUGAGUUUGUCUUAUAAGCAACGAUUCGUCCGAACAAAUUCAUACCACCAAAUCAACUUUCUCCAACGAAUAUCGAUACCUCAAAAGUUAUAUCAGUAAAAUCUGCAGAACCCCUGACGAUUCACUUUGAAAAAUAUAGUUUGGAAAUCGCGGAGAAUACUGGAAAUGCACGUAAUAAUUCAUCUACAAUGCAGAUACCUAUUACACCUGUUUUUUUUAGAGUUGGAUUUUAAUCGAGAAUUUGAAAAAUGUUUCAUUUGUAUCUCAUGAAUUUUGAUACUUGAGUUGAGUAGGUAUUGUAAAAAAAAAUAUUCAAUUUUUACCCUGCGAUAAUUUUUUUCAGUCAUUUUUCAUCCUCUGCCCUUCAGCAGACUUCACAUCGAAGGAGGAUUGUUAGGUGGUAAAACAUAUCACAUUCAUAGGAAUUUUUUACACUUGAAUCAAAAUGCACAUGGUCGUAGUGGAAGCACGAUUAACGCUAAAUGGUGACUUUUAUUUUAAUUCUUAAGAUUAUAGGUUGGUAUCUUAAAAUAGGUAGGUACACAAUUAUUUUGCUUUGGUACCCAAUGUAGAAUGUACCUACCAUGAAUGUUUUGCGCAGUUAUCCAAUUGAAGGAGUUAUCAUAUUUUAUAAUGAAGCGUAUGGCACUUAUGAAAAUGCUAUGAAUUUCUCCGAUGGUUUAUUGGUUCUUUCAGAAUUGGUUAGAAUAGGCUCAAAGGAUAAUUCAGAUUUCGUACCGCUUGAAAAAAUCUUACUUUCUGGAGCUCUAAAAAAGCCAAAUUCUUCAGUCGUAACUGCAGCUAAAAAUUUAUUUAGUUGGUACAGCACUUUUGAAAUUACACCCGCAUAUUACGUUUAUCAAGGAUCUUACUACGAUUCAGAGAUAAGGAAACAAAUAUCGAGAGCAAUUUUCGUGGUUACUCAGCCACCUUACAACUCCAUUUCCAAAAAACAAUUUGAAGCUUUCAAACAAGUGCUGGGAAACGAUGGUCAACCAUUUAAUACCAUAACACCAAUUUACCCUGCCAAAUCUAGAAGAGUUCUUGGAACAACAGGAGUCCAGGCUAAACCAAUACCUUUCGGUUUGAUUGUUUUGUUGCUGCAAAUGGUUUAUUUGUACCUUUCUGGUCAAUUCACUUAAGAUACAUUACUGAUGAGGUGUGGAUGGAUAGGUACAUACCUAUUCUUUAUUAAAAGUUUGCUGAAAAAAUUUAGGCAGGUACCAGGUACCUAUUCUCUCAUCGUCGUUAUCAUUUUAAUAUUUAUAUAUUUCUUCGUGAUGAAAAUAAAACAUCCAAUGUGCAAAAAAUUGCAUCUCAUAUUUUGGCAGCGAACGCUCGGAAGAAUUUUCAGUGCAAAUUAUUGAAAAAAAAAUGACUUUUAGGGAAGGAUAAUAUGCAACCAAAAUACAAAUUCUCUGUGUCAAUUAAACUUUAUUUUGCCCCCCUCCCCUUCGUUCCAAAAAUGAGAUGCCAAAAGUACUCGAAUGGAUCCAAUCAUCCCCCUCAAAGGAAAAAUCCUGGCACCUUGAAGCUGUAUGGGUUUUAAUAUCAACAUUUCAGUGGAUGCAGGUAGGUGUAGGUCUGUUCUGAAGAGAUACUGGAAGAUUCUGC
This is an RNA transcript of Planococcus citri (citrus mealybug), 2497 nucleotides long. It is a transcript of the gene named carbonic anhydrase 2-like, with no coding region annotated. NCBI's taxonomy places the organism in Eukaryota, Metazoa, Arthropoda, Insecta, Hemiptera, Pseudococcidae. The record is from RefSeq and is a predicted model, not a curated record. The transcript has 8 exons.